UCAAGCUAAGAAGAGCGCAGGGCGAAUGCCUUGGCACUGGGAGCCGAAGAAGGACGCGAUAAGCUGCGAUAAGCUGCGGGGAGGAGCAAAUAUCCAUUGAUCCGCAGAUUUCCGAAUGGAGAAAUCCGUAUGGAGAAGUCCAUACAUCAUAUACUGAAUUCAUAGGUAUAUGAGGGAAACCGCCUGAACUGAAACAUCUAAGUAGGGCGAGGAAAAGAAAUCAACCGAGAUACCGCAAGUAGUGGCGAGCGAACGCGGCAGAGGCCAAACCGGGAGUAGAAAUACUCCCGGGGUUGCGGACUGCAUUUAGCAUUGUUGAUCUUUAACCGAAGGGCAUGGGAAGGCCCACCGAAGAACGUGAGAGUCGUGUAGGUGAAAAGGAGAGACAGCGAGCAGGAUCCAGAGUACCGCGGGACACGAGGAAUCCCGUGGGAAGCCGGGGGGACCACCCUCCAAGCCUAAAUACUACCCAGUGACCGAUAGCGUAUAGUACUGUGAAGGAAAGGUGAAAAGGACCCCGGGAGGGGAGUGAAAUAGAACCUGAAACCCUGUGCUUACAAGCACCGAGAGCCCGUCAAUGGGUGAUCGGGUACUUUUUGUAGAACGGUCCGGCGAGUAUAUGGAACAAGCAAGGUUAAGGUCUUCAGGACCGAAGCCGAAGGGAAACCAAGUCUUAAUAGGGCGCACAGUUUGUUUCAUAUGACCCGAAACCGGGUGACCUAUCCAUGUCCAGGUUGAAGUGGCGGUAAAACGCCAUGGAGGACCGAACCAACCCCCGUUGAAAAGGUGGUGGAUGAGGUGUGGAUAGCGGAGAAAUUCCAAUCGAACUCGGAUAUAGCUGGUUCUCCCCGAAAUAGCUUUAGGGCUAGCGUUGUGUUAGAUUACCGGAGGUAAAGCACUGAAUAGGCUAGGGGGCGAGAGUCUACCGACCCUUAUCAAACUCUGAAUGCCGGAUAAUUGAUGCACAGCAGUCAGACAGUGUGAGAUAAGUUUCAUUGUCAAAAGGGAAACAGCCCAGACCCACAGCUAAGGUCCCAAAUGUAUGUUAAGUGGAAAAGGAUGUCCAGUUGCACAAACAACCAGGAUGUUGGCUUAGAAGCAGCCACACAUUCAAAGAGUGCGUAACAGCUCACUGGUCGAGUGACCGGGCGCCGAAAAUGUAACGGGGCUAAACAUACAACCGAAGCUUGGGCUGCACAGCAAUGUGCGGGGUAGGGGAGCGUUGUGUGCGGGGAGAAGCACGAGCGGAAGCGCGUGUGGACUGCACAGAAGUGAGAAUGCCGGAAUGAGUAGCGCGAAUUAUGUGAGAAUCAUAAUGGCCGAAAGCCUAAGGUUUCUGGAGGAAGGUUCGUCCGCUCCAGGUUAGCCGGGAGCUAAGGUGAGGCCGAAAGGCGUAGCCGAUGCACAUACGGUGGAGAUUCCGUAGCCAUCAAAAGAUUUAAGCAGAGGGACACAGUAGAAGGGUACAUGCCGGGCGUUGGUAGCCCCGGUUGCAAGGGACCGAAAUUAGAGUAGGGAAGAUGGACUUGGAUACUGGCGAGAAAAGCUCUGUGGAUAUCUGCGAUGCCCGUACCGCAAACCGACACAGGUAGGUAGGAAGAGGAUUCUAAGGCCAACGGGAGAAGGGUUGUUAAGGAACUCGGCAAGUUGACCCCGUAACUUCGGGAGAAGGGGUGCUCUGGAAACAGAGCCGCAGAGAAUAGGUCCAGGCAACUGUUUAGCAAAAACACAGCUCUCUGCUAAAUCGAAAGAUGAUGUAUAGGGGGUGACGCCUGCCCGGUGCUGGAAGGUUAAGAGGAGGAGUGAGAGCCCCGAAUCGAAGCCCCAGUAAACGGCGGCCGUAACUAUAACGGUCCUAAGGUAGCGAAAUUCCUUGUCAGGUAAGUUCUGACCCGCACGAAUGG
This 1904-nucleotide ribosomal RNA is filed under the name human gut metagenome. RNAcentral's name for it is "bacterial LSU rRNA". It matches the Rfam family "Bacterial large subunit ribosomal RNA", at positions 3 to 1999 of the family's 2925-position model. The record is from RNAcentral.